RNAcentral lists this ribosomal RNA (440 nucleotides) under uncultured bacterium. RNAcentral's name for it is "partial 16S ribosomal RNA". It matches the Rfam family "Bacterial small subunit ribosomal RNA", at positions 338 to 795 of the family's 1533-position model. The record is from RNAcentral.
CCUACGGGUGGCAGCAGUAGGGAAUAUUGCUCAAUGGGGGAAACCCUGAAGCAGCAACGCCGCGUGGAGGAUGAAGGCUUUCGGAUUGUAAACUCCUUUUGUUAGAGAGGAUAAUGACGGUAUCUAACGAAUAAGCACCGGCUAACUCCGUGCCAGCAGCCGCGGUAAUACGGAGGGUGCAAGCGUUACUCGGAAUCACUGGGCGUAAAGAGCGCGUAGGCGGGAUAGCAAGUCAGAUGUGAAAUCCUAUGGCUUAACCAUAGAACUGCAUUUGAAACUGUUAUUCUAGAGUGUGGGAGAGGUAGGUGGAAUGCUUGGUGUAGGGGUAAAAUCCGUAGAGAUCAAAAGGAAUACUCAUUGCGAAGGCAGCCUACUAGGACAUAGCUGACGCUGAGGCACGAAAGCGUGGGGAGCAAACAGGAUUAGAUACCCCUGUAGUC